RNAcentral lists this small RNA (460 nucleotides) under Arabidopsis thaliana (thale cress). RNAcentral describes it as "ATSL068460". The record is from RNAcentral. Lineage: Eukaryota; Viridiplantae; Streptophyta; Magnoliopsida; Brassicales; Brassicaceae.
UAAUCAAAAUUUCAAAGACACCUUAUUUAUUUUCUUUAUAUUAAAUAUUUUCCAAAGUUUUUUUUUAUAUUUAUUUUAUCUUUGUCAUAUCAAAUUUCUGCCUCUAGUAUAAAUUCAAUAAGCUAGUUUUGAUCAAUUACUUGUUCUAAUCUGGUACUUUUAAGCAUUAACAAAAUGAUCCAAGUCGUGGCUUUCAAUGAUGGCCCUGUUUGUUUCUCCAUUCAGAUGGAUCAUCUAGAUGGAGAUGAAAACUGAUGUUUGUUUUUGACAAAUUAAUAGAUCAUUUGGAUGAAUCAUUUGGAUGUUCCAUGUGAAUGACUUUGUAAAUUUAAGCUAAUUUGUGAAACUCAUUUGGAUGGACUUGGUAGAACCAUUUGGAUGAAGAUGAUUUAGUCCAAAAAAACAAAUGACAAAUAUAGUCUCUUUUAAUAAUGUUAAUUUUAAUAGAUUUAUUAUUUAA